Molecule: ribosomal RNA, 118 nt
Organism: Larimichthys crocea (large yellow croaker)
Lineage: Eukaryota; Metazoa; Chordata; Actinopteri; Sciaenidae
Source: Ensembl
GCUUACGGCCAUACCACCUGAAUGCGCCCGAUCUCGUCUGAUCUCGGAAGCUAAGCAGGGUCAGGCCUGGUUAGUACUUGGAUGGGAGACCGCCUGGGAAUACCAGGUGCUGUAAGCU